Molecule: long non-coding RNA, 1222 nt
Organism: Erigeron canadensis
Lineage: Eukaryota; Viridiplantae; Streptophyta; Magnoliopsida; Asterales; Asteraceae
Exons: 3
Source: RefSeq, a predicted model, not a curated record
UAAAAGUUGUUUUACACAGAGUCUUUUGUUGCGUGAUGUUUGCUUUGUAUUUUUUUCUUUCUUCCACCUUUUUUAUUCUCUUCCAAAUUUCAUAUCUUAUUUCUUUAUAUCUAUAAAAAAAAACUAAGAUAACAACUUCUGAAAUCUUCUUCGUAUACGCUUAAACAAUGACCAAACCCUUUUUGGGUGUUGCUAUUCACUCAUUUUUACACAAUCUCUAGAUUUUGUUAUCAUGUGGUAGUCGUUUACGGAAGAUGCAUCGUUACGUCGGAUCAGUCACCUUCCCUCAGAAACCCAUCAAAACCAACGGCAAGCCCAUUUGUCGGUUUGAGUUGCAUCAGUAGCGAGUUGCUAUAGUACGAGUAGCAUAGAUUUAAUGUUACUAUUGAGUUUCUACAGUCCGGUUCUUUGAUUAAAGGAGACCAGCGCUGAUUACCGGCGGCGGUUACCGGCGGAUGGCGGUGGUUAAUGGAAGAUUUGGUGUUUUAUGUUUAUCAGUAAUUCAGUAUUGAUAUGUACAUGGGUAUGCUUUGUAAGUUGUACCUGCUGCUUAGUAAGUGUAAAUAAGCAAUGUUAAAAGUGUGUUGUACCUUAUGCAUAUGUGUUUGUACCAUUAGCCAACCAAGCCAGUUAGUGUAACUGAGCCGGCACUGUAGCAAACUAAGCCGGCACUGUAGCAGUCCAAAUUGGGAUUGUUAUAUAUAUAAUGUUGCAGGACAUUCAAGGAUAAGAUUGGAAGUGCUAAUGAUGUAAAACUACUAUUGGAGGUCUCCAUUUCGGGACACGUGGAACGUUAUAUGCGUUCAUCUCCUCUUUGUAAAGCUGAUAUACAAAUACUAUUCAUGUUUGCAAAAGCGCGCUUACUGACGAAUUAAGAUGAAAUUCGGAUGUAGUAGAUUUAUAUCAUAUGAGUAAAGAACAUAUCCGUUGAAGUUUGCAUAUCACCUCGCAUAUUGUACAGCGCCAACGCGUAGAAACCAUAUCACCGAUUAUUUAUUCACAGCACAAUCUUGCAUUUGUACGAUAAUAUCAAACCGGUGAUUAAUGUGAUGAUCAUGGAAGUAAGGAAUAAAACAUUUAAUAAUCACCGCCGCAACGCGCGGGUCCUCUUCUAAAAUGUUGGUUGUAACCAUGUUGUCCUUCCUUUAUUUCAAUUCAUAUACAUUCUUAUCUAAACCAUUUUCACAUUCUCACUUCAAUUGAAUGUCCACUUAUAUUGUUA